Molecule: transfer RNA, 72 nt
Filed under: Micromonospora violae
Lineage: Bacteria; Bacillati; Actinomycetota; Actinomycetes; Micromonosporales; Micromonosporaceae
Description: tRNA-Asp
Rfam family: tRNA
About the family: Transfer RNA (tRNA) molecules are approximately 80 nucleotides in length. Their secondary structure includes four short double-helical elements and three loops (D, anti-codon, and T loops).
Source: RNAcentral
GCUGGCGUAGCUCGCGGCUUGAACACCUCGUUGUCAGCGAGGCGGUCGCGGGUUCGAGUCCCGUCGUCAGCG